This 6367-nucleotide long non-coding RNA is filed under the name Sus scrofa (pig). RNAcentral describes it as "lncRNA (ENSSSCG00060053232.1)". Lineage: Eukaryota; Metazoa; Chordata; Mammalia; Artiodactyla; Suidae. The record is from RNAcentral.
CUGGGAGAAAUCAUCAGUUUUCAUGGAGGCAGGAAUGCUUUAGAAAAGAGACUGAAUACUGAACUUGAAGCCUUGAGACUGUGGCCUCAGAAUAAGUUGGAAUAUGCAAUUUUGAGUAAGUUAGAGAAGCACAUUUUCAUUCCCUACAUUCCCAUUCCCUACAUUCCCCUGAUAUGACUGGUUGCACUGGCUGGCCAAGCCUGUCUCUGGACCUUCUCUCGCCUUCAUACGACAUUUUCUCCUCAUGUUUUGCAGGGCUUGCAGCUGAAGCUCACAACUGAUUUCCCAGUACUGUUCUCUGGGAGCUUUUCCAAUGAGUGCCCCCAUGUCAUCGCUCCUGCUUUUAAGGACAAGUAAAAUGAAGCAGUGUAAUACUUAGAGAUAAAAGAUGUUCAAAACACGAAUCUUUUAAAGUAAGAGAAGUGAAGUGAAAAAGAUGAAGAUACUAUGCUCUGAUCUCCUAUUUUUAUGGAUGGAGCAAGAUGACCUUGGUAGCUCAACCUAAUUUCAAGGUGAUGUAUGUUUCCCAGAGCAUACUGCAUUCAGCAAACUGAAAUAAUGGAAAACUUUUCCCCACCCACAGGGAAAGAAAUGACAUCAGUGACUAUAUUCCACGUGUUAUUUUAAACAUAUAUUUAUGUUUAAUCCCUUGGUGUCUGAUACGGCAAGUCUUCUAGAAAAUGCUGGUGCUAGUAAAAUUUCCAGAGAGCAUAUAAAAAUAACAACAGCAAAGCCUCAUCACAACAGCCAACACUUCUGAGAGCUUUCUCCAUACUUCAUGCUCUGCAUGCCUUAAGUGAAAGAGAACUUUGAUAAUCACUGUGCACAUGAAGUUUAAAGACCUUUACCUUCAUUUUAUCUGAGAAAAACUGAAGUUCAGUCACUGCAGCAGUUAGAAACAUCCUAGCGGUCAAAACAGAUAAACCCUGAAAUCAUAGUUGCUGAAACAUUACAAACUUAUUUCUCAUAUACAACAGUCCAACAGGGGUUCUGAGGGAAUGGUCUUCCUUGCAGUAACUCAAGCCUCAAGGUCUUUAUUGUUAUGGGGUGGGGCAGUCAUGCUUUAAAAAUUGGGGAGUUUCCAUCAUGGCUCAGUGGAAACGAAUCUGACUAGGAUCCACGAGGACACAAUUUCCAUCCUUGGCCUUGUUCAGUGGGUUAAGGAUGGGUCUGGUGUUGCUGUGAAGGUCGCAGGCAUGGCUCAGACCCCACAUUGCUAUGACUGUGGCAUAGGCCAGCAGCUAUUCGAUCCCUAGACUGGGAACUUCCAUAUGCCAUGGGUAUGGUCCUAAAAACAAAAACAAACAAACAAAAAAAUUGAAUGGGGGUCUCAAAAAGACAUAAUUUUCAGCAUUGGAAGGACACAAUUGCAGUACUUUGCCUACCUCAUUCUAGCAUAGGAAUAAAUUGGAUUAGGAAGGUAUCUAAAUGUACAUUCUGCCGAGCCAAUUAUUAUUUAAUUUCUUUAUCUUUGUGCUGUAUCUAUCUUAUUUGAUGGGGUCAUAGGCGGCCUGGAUCAGAACUGUUUUUCUUGUUACCCACUUUUCUAAUAUAAAAUUUCACAAAGGGAGAAUCCUUAUAAAAUUUUAAUGUUGGAAAUAACUGCCUUUUACUAAUAAGCUUUUAUUGGUGAUGUCUAAGCACACCAGGAUAAAGAAAACCAUUUGCCUUCCACUGUCUAACAGCCGUGGAGAACUGUGGAAACUCUUUAAAAGAUGGAAAAUGUACAGAAAUUGGAAAGACAAUAAUAGCUCCUUCCUUUAUGUUCCUUAAACAAAACACCCUGACAGAAUUUGCUAUAUAUAUUGCUAAGUAAAUUGAGCUUCUCUACAAAAGUGUAAACAAAAUAAAAUUGCUACAUAGCUCUUUAAUUCAGCAAAUUUAAUUUUCCAUGUAUUCAUUCAACAAUGUACCUGAACUGGUAUUGCUGACAAAUAGGACUGGCUGACUGACAGCCUGCUGAAAAUAAACUGUAAGACUGGUGUUUUGCUACUUCCAAUCUUUCUUUCUAAUAACGACAAUGUAAUUACAAUUUUUAGAUCAAAUGCACCAAUGAUCACUCAUUUUUAAAUCAUAUGGAAAGGUCAAAAGGAAGACCUAUAAAUAACUGCUAAUAUUGUUUUCCUAAAAUGUCAAAAAUAGAAACGUAACAAAACUGUAACAUUAGACUAUUAACAUUAACACACGGUCAUCAACUCGAUUCAACUAACACUCACUGAGCACUAAUCAUGUGUGCUGCCUUGUGAUAGAGUAUAGAAAAAUAAGAAUAACAGGUCGUUUUUUUCUCAAGGUGCUUAUAAUGUAGUUGGGGAAAUGCAGGCACACAUACUCGAAAAACAAAAUACACAUAACACCCAUUAAUGCAACUCUUCCUAUAGUUCAUCCAAUCUAGGAAGGGGUCAUAUUUUUCUAUCAUCUAUACAGAAGUUUGAAAGUGAACAGCUGAACUUAAUCCACAGAAAAAUACGCAAUAACCGAAAUACUAAGAAACAGGAUGAGAUUCUUUAUCAUAAUGAUUGAUAGCCAUUUGAUUGAAGAAGACCCCAAACCUGCAAUGGUCUCCAAUCUUAGAAGACUCAGAAAGAGUAUACAUAUAAGAUAUGGUGACAAAUGGGGAGUGCAGUUACCACAUUAUCAUAAUUAUCCAACUGUAAUUUCAAUUACAUCCCAUAAUAAAUCUGGUUGGAAUCUCUGACUUAGCAGGAGAGGCCCUUCUCCAACUUCAAUUUCUCAUCUCUCACAAACAACUAAGUCCAGAUUAAUGAGAAAUCUGAGGUAUGAAAGCAAUUGUGUGAGAGCAGCAUGCCUCUUCAUCCCCCAAAGGGUCAGGCCGAAUUCUGCUGCUUUUAAAACAUGGUCAAGAGAUCGAAAUGAAGGGACAAGCGUGGCCACUUACCGCAUGGAAGCACCAAGCAAAAAUAACAGGGCUACAUUCAUAUGCAUUGCUUUUCAACAAAGUUUUCUUCUAACCCCUCCCCCACCUCACCCCAACAAAAUGGGUCCAACUUGGGUUUUAGAUUAUGGCCUAAGUAGCAGUUGCUGAGUGUGGUGGGGUAAGCAGAAAAAAUGUGAUGAGAGUAAAGAAUAGUUUUGUAGGGAAGAGAGACCUCCCCUGAAAUUCUAAUUCUGCUAUUCUCCAUGUUUCAGAAAAUGAUUGAGAAAAUUUUCAAGAAUCAUUUGCUUAAAAAAAAAAUUGUGGCAUUCCCAUCGUGGCUCAGCAAUAACAAACCCAACUAGUACACAUGAGGAUGCAGGUUCGAUCCCUGGCUUUGCUCAGUGGGUUAAGGAUCCAGCAUUGCCAUGAGCUAUGGUGUAGGCUGCAAACGCAGCUGAGAUCCUGUGUUGCUGUGGCUGUGGUGUAGGCCGGCAGCUGUGACUCUGAUUGGGAGCUUCCAUAUGCUGCAGCAACUCUACUUAGGGGAAGGUUGAAGGGAAGCAGGCAGAUGGGGAAUGUGAAAUUGGUCAUUUUUUCUGUGCAGCAUACAGUAUCAUGUUAAUAUAUGACAUGGUUACACCUUUGCUCUUGUAACGAAUUUAGAACACAACUUACAAGUAUUCCAUAUAGUUAAUAGAUACUUCUAAUUUGGAAGAAAUUUCUACGGCUAUACAAAAUCCAACACAACUGUCGAUAUAUUCUGAAAGAAAGCCCUUAAUAAAGGAAAUAUUAAUAUACUACAUAAACUUUGCCUAAGGGGAAACUUACACCUGUUGCUUUCAAACUUGUUUCCAUCAAGUUGUGACAUCUCACACAACUUAUAAUUUCUUAUGAGUUCAUUUUACUUUGUUUCUUUCCGGAAAUAUUACUGCAUUUCCUUUCCACUACCCUUAUAAAAUUAUUGCCAUUUUUAUAGACACGUUACUGCCUUGGCCCACACUAUAGCUAAGAAAUAAAAAAUAAUUUCAGGAGAGUAACAUCACCAAGGUGGCAGAGAAAGCGGCCUCAGCCUCUGUUUACCCAGCAAAGAAUAACAAUCAGCCAUUCAUAUACGAAGACAGCUCUUGGAGGACACAGGAAUCCUCUGAAGAAGUUUCAGCAAUGCCAUGAGUUCUCCAUUUUGCUUUGAACAAUCUGAAGUAGAUACUUGUUUUCCUUCUGACAGGCAACACAUACAUUUCAUUCAAGGUCUUAUGAAUUUAAAGAAACAAUCACUAGAACUUUCAUCACCGCAUAGGUCAUUGAUAAAGUUAGGAUUUCAGACCUGUCCAGACUACAGCUCAAUGUGGCAGAGUCUGCAUGUUGACUAAGUGAGAAUUUUAGAGGAAGGGUCAUCACUGUUGAAUCUGUCUAGUGGAAUAGAAAAGGAUGGUCCCAGAGCCAGAGAGAAAGGAAAGAAGCAAGGCUGUUGCCCUUGUGAUUCACAGUAUGGUAGAAUGAUGUCCCUCUAGGCAUUUAUCCCAUAAAGAAUACUAUAAUAAGGCUGUUUAAGUUUCUUCAAUGCAUUAAAUAUUCUCCCUUCACUCAAAACCUCCAAGUCCCAAGAUGGCCAGACACUUCCAGGAAAUAACUGGGGUGACUGAUGGCAUGUCUCUGUAACUGGGGGUGGCAGGUCAGUGUUCAGCUCCCACAUGGAGCCUGCUUCUAUGCCCCAGGGCUUUGCUCCCUUGUCAAUAUCCUCAAUAGCGCAGAUCUGCACAUUACUUAUUGCCUAAUGCAAAAACAGAUUGCUCUGCCUAGCAUCUAAUAGUUGUGACUAUCCCAAUGACAUGAACGUAUGCAAUACGGAGCUGAAUUGUAAGGCUGACAAGAGCCUGCGUGUGCAGAAACGUAAUUACAGUGGAAGUUUAAUGAUAAAUCACCGCAGUUUCUCUCUGCCUUAAUAAACUGUCAGGUACUACCAAAUAAAGCUGAAGCAAUUAAGGGAAGCAACAGGAUCUUGGGCUGAGGGACAGGAGUGAUAGAAGAAAUAGAACCUCCACCCCCUCCCCCAAAUUGCUUACAUAAACUGCUGGUACUUAACAGCUGUGAACUCUGAUCAGCAGGAACAUCAACCUCCUCAUUCAUCCACCUAGGAUAUGGGAUUUUGAUUUCUCACAGGAAGGUAGAGUAUUUUCAACUACGAUAAAAUACUUUAGACAUCCAAAGAGCUCAUUAAAGUCCACCUAUUAUUUCUGUAUGCCCCUCAGUAUCUGUUUAAAGAGGUUAUUUAUAAAACACUACCAUUUUAUUUCCUCAUCCCUAAUUUCUCAGGUCUUCAAGCUGUGAUUAUUCGAAUGGACAGGCAAGGAUACAGAGGGUGCAAUGAAACUAGGACAGUGUCCAGGAUAGGACAGGAACUGAGCUGCCCAGCAGGGCACAGCCAAGGAUAUAGAAAGUGACAGACCUGAGUUCACAUCCCAGCUCUGCAACUUAAUAGCUGAGUGAUUUUCGGCAAGUUCCUUAAACCUCUUUCAUACUCCUUUUCCUGAUUUGUAAAAUGAGGAGAUUAGUUAACGACAUCUACUUCAUAAGGUUGUUAGGAAGAACAAACUAAAUGGUGCAUUAAACCUCUGACUCCCUGUAAUUCCUGCCACCUAUAAUGCACUCAAUGCAUGUUGUUAUUAAUAAUAGUUUGUUACUAUAUUAUCAGUUUCCAAGUAGAUAUAUGUAUCUGCCCCCACCCUGCACUCUCAACACAUUUACCAGACCUUGUUCCUGCAGGCAGCCCAAAGGAUAGAAUUAUACUGCAUCUGGACAGACAGGAUUACUGUAAUUACACUGUCUAACCCUGUUAUUGGAUAUGUGUGGAAACUUAGCUGAAUUCAUAUAUUUAAUCACAAAUUGGUCAAAGCUAAGCAUCAGGCUCUGAAAUAGGCACUAAAAAUACAAACAUGAAUAAAGUCCUAUUAACUUGCGAUUCAUCAUCUUGAUAGUGAAACAGGGAGGUAGAAGCAAGUAAGAAACGAAUCAGAGAGGCAAGUUCCCUCCUCUUGUUACUCAAACACGGAAGAGGAAGAGCUUAUCCCUGACUGGGGCAGCCAAAGAAAGUGUUCUAGAAAAAAGGACAUUUUCUCUGUUGUCAUAAAACUGCAUAUAAUAGAGACUCUAAGAAGAAAAUCAGAUAAGAGUACAGACAAAGUAAUAAAAUGGCAUGCAAACAUCAUUCAUCCUUAAAGAAAUGUAAAUUAAAAUCCCAACCAGAUUACACUACCUAAGUAUUAGAAUGGCUAAAAUAAAAAAUAAAACAAACAAACAAAUAAAAUGCCAAGAAUCGGAGAGGACCUAGAGUAACCAGUUUUUUCCCACAUUGCUGGUGGGAAUACAACAUGCUAUAGCUACUUUCAAAAACAGUUUGUCAAUGUUUUAUAAAGUUAAACAUCCACUUAACCAAUGAUGGACUCCUUCUCCUAGGCAUUGGCUCCAAUGGAGAGAAAAAUUAUGUUUAUACAA